UACUGGGGGUGCUGUUCCAACUCUCUGUCGGAAGAGUUCAAAGAACGCCAAAAUUAUUGUAGAGAUGACAAGCCCGCUGAAGACACUGGAUUACUACUCUGUCGAGGACGGUGAUGAGAUUUCAGUACGGUGGUAAUGCUACGUUUCUUUGUUACAUUUAACGAGGUUUUUAUAGUUUAUUUUGUUGUAUUUUUUAAUAACAGUUUAAUAUUAAUUUUCCCUGUAACAUAAAUAAAGUAUUACCGCAUGUAAAA
Long non-coding RNA from Homalodisca vitripennis (glassy-winged sharpshooter), 254 nucleotides. RefSeq lists it as uncharacterized. The record is from RefSeq and is a predicted model, not a curated record. NCBI's taxonomy places the organism in Eukaryota, Metazoa, Arthropoda, Insecta, Hemiptera, Cicadellidae. The transcript has 2 exons.